RNAcentral lists this ribosomal RNA (250 nucleotides) under uncultured prokaryote. Its description in RNAcentral is "partial 16S rRNA". It matches the Rfam family "Bacterial small subunit ribosomal RNA", at positions 525 to 775 of the family's 1533-position model. The record is from RNAcentral.
ACGUAGGAGGCAAACGUUAUCCGGAUUUACUGGGCGUAAAGCGCGUGUAGGUGGUUCUGUAAGUAGGGCGUGAAAGCUCCCGGCUCAACUGGGAGAGGCCGUUCUAAACUGCAGAGCUAGAGGAUGGUAGAGGGAGGUGGAAUUCCAGGUGGAGCCGUGGAAUGCCCAUAUAUCUACGGAACACCAGUAGCGAAAGCGUCCUCCUGGACCAUUCCUGACACUCAGGCGCGAAAGCUAGGGUAGCAAACGG